UGCAAGUCGCACGAAGGUUUCGGCCUUAGUGGCGGACGGGUGAGUAACGCGUAGGAAUCUAUCCAUGGGUGGGGGAUAACUCUGGGAAACUGGAGCUAAUACCGCAUGACACCUUAGGGUCAAAGGCGCAAGUCGCCUGUGGAGGAGCCUGCGUUUGAUUAGCUUGUUGGUGGGGUAAUGGCCUACCAAGGCGAUGAUCAAUAGCUGGUCUGAGAGGAUGAUCAGCCACACUGGGACUGAGACACGGCCCAGACUCCUACGGGAGGCAGCAGUGGGGAAUAUUGGACAAUGGGGGCAACCCUGAUCCAGCAAUGCCGCGUGUGUGAAGAAGGUCUUCGGAUUGUAAAGCACUUUCGACGGGGACGAUGAUGACGGUACCCGUAGAAGAAGCCCCGGCUAACUUC
This 404-nucleotide ribosomal RNA is filed under the name uncultured bacterium. RNAcentral's name for it is "bacterial SSU rRNA". It matches the Rfam family "Bacterial small subunit ribosomal RNA", at positions 56 to 504 of the family's 1533-position model. The record is from RNAcentral.